RNAcentral lists this ribosomal RNA (469 nucleotides) under uncultured bacterium. Its description in RNAcentral is "partial 16S ribosomal RNA". It matches the Rfam family "Bacterial small subunit ribosomal RNA", at positions 28 to 507 of the family's 1533-position model. The record is from RNAcentral.
GACGAACGCUGGCGGCGUGCUUAACACAUGCAAGUCGAACGGAAAGGCCCUGCUUUUGUGGGGUGCUCGAGUGGCGAACGGGUGAGUAACACGUGAGUAACCUGCCCUUGACUUUGGGAUAACUUCAGGAAACUGGGGCUAAUACCGGAUAGGAGCUCCUGCUGCAUGGUGGGGGUUGGAAAGUUUCGGCGGUUGGGGAUGGACUCGCGGCUUAUCAGCUUGUUGGGGGGGUAGUGGCUUACCAAGGCUUUGACGGGUAGCCGGCCUGGGAGGGUGACCGGCCGACGGUGGGACGGAGGAAGGGCCAGACCCCCACGGGGGGACGGCGGGGGGAAUUUUGGCACAAGGGGGGGAGGCGGAGUGCGGAACCCCCGUGUGGGGGAGACCGGCUUGCGGGUUGAAACCCGUUUCGCCUUGGGAGGAGGGGGGAGUGACGGUAAUGGAAAAAGAAGCCCCGGCUAACUCCGUG